This 440-nucleotide ribosomal RNA is filed under the name uncultured bacterium. RNAcentral describes it as "bacterial SSU rRNA". It matches the Rfam family "Bacterial small subunit ribosomal RNA", at positions 338 to 795 of the family's 1533-position model. The record is from RNAcentral.
CCUACGGGGUGCACCAGUGGGGAAUAUUGGACAAUGGGCGAAAGCCUGAUCCAGCAAUGCCGCGUGAGUGAUGAAGGCCUUAGGGUUGUAAAGCUCUUUUACCCGGGAAGAUAAUGACUGUAUCGGGAGAAUAAGCCCCGGCUAACUCCGUGCCAGCAGCCGCGGUAAUACGGAGGGGGCUAGCGUUGUUCGGAAUUACUGGGCGUAAAGCGCACGUAGGCGGCUUUGUAAGUUAGAGGUGAAAGCCCGGAGCUCAACUCCGGAAUUGCCUUUAAGACUGCAUCGCUAGAAUUGUGGAGAGGUGAGUGGAAUUCCGAGUGUAGAGGUGAAAUUCGUAGAUAUUCGGAAGAACACCAGUGGCGAAGGCGACUCACUGGACACAUAUUGACGCUGAGGUGCGAAAGCGUGGGGAGCAAACAGUAUUAGAUACCCCGGUAGUC